This 464-nucleotide ribosomal RNA is filed under the name uncultured bacterium. RNAcentral's name for it is "partial 16S ribosomal RNA". It matches the Rfam family "Bacterial small subunit ribosomal RNA", at positions 339 to 795 of the family's 1533-position model. The record is from RNAcentral.
CUACGGGGUGCUCCAGUGGGGAAUAUUGGACAAUGGGCGCAAGCCUGAUCCAGCAAUGCCGCGUGUGUGAAGAAGGCCUGCGGGUUGUAAAGCACUUUAAGCAGGAAAGAAGGUUUCAAGGCUAAUACCCUUGGAAAUUGACGUUACCUGCAGAAUAAGCACCGGCUAACUCCGUGCCAGCAGCCGCGGUAAUACGGAGGGUGCGAGCGUUAAUCGGAAUUACUGGGCGUAAAGCGCGCGUAGGCGGUCGGCUAAGUCUGCUGUGAAAGCCCUGGGCUUAACCUGGGAACUGCAGUGGAUACUGGUCGGCUAGAGUAUGGUAGAGGAGAGUGGAAUUUCCGGUGUAGCAGUGAAAUGCGUAGAGAUCGGAAGGAACACCAGUGGCGAAGGCGGCUCUCUGGACCAAUACUGACGCUGAGGUGCGAAAGCGUGGGGAGCAAACAGGAUUAGAUACCCUCGUAGUC